RNAcentral lists this ribosomal RNA (493 nucleotides) under Lasiodiplodia theobromae. RNAcentral's name for it is "eukaryotic LSU rRNA". The stretch from base 117 to 270 matches the Rfam family "5.8S ribosomal RNA". The record is from RNAcentral. Lineage: Eukaryota; Fungi; Ascomycota; Dothideomycetes; Botryosphaeriales; Botryosphaeriaceae.
CGACUCUCCCACCCUUUGUGAACGUACCUCUGUUGCUUUGGCGGCUCCGGCCGCCAAAGGACCUUCAAACUCCAGUCAGUAAACGCAGACGUCUGAUAAACAAGUUAAUAAACUAAAACUUUCAACAACGGAUCUCUUGGUUCUGGCAUCGAUGAAGAACGCAGCGAAAUGCGAUAAGUAAUGUGAAUUGCAGAAUUCAGUGAAUCAUCGAAUCUUUGAACGCACAUUGCGCCCCUUGGUAUUCCGGGGGGCAUGCCUGUUCGAGCGUCAUUACAACCCUCAAGCUCUGCUUGGAAUUGGGCACCGUCCUCACUGCGGACGCGCCUCAAAGACCUCGGCGGUGGCUGUUCAGCCCUCAAGCGUAGUAGAAUACACCUCGCUUUGGAGCGGUUGGCGUCGCCCGCCGGACGAACCUUCUGAACUUUUCUCAAGGUUGACCUCGGAUCAGGUAGGGAUACCCGCUGAACUUAAGCAUAUCAAUAAGCGGAGGAAG